Molecule: long non-coding RNA, 1364 nt
Organism: Pipistrellus kuhlii (Kuhl's pipistrelle)
Lineage: Eukaryota; Metazoa; Chordata; Mammalia; Chiroptera; Vespertilionidae
Exons: 2
Source: RefSeq, a predicted model, not a curated record
AUCUCGUUGGCUGCUUGCUCCUGACUGGCCAGAACCUCUUCAAUCAAGGGCAGAGCAUCGUCCUCCUGGCCCAAGUCUUUUAGGGGUGCCUUUGAGCGCUCAGACUUCCAGGAUGAUCUGCCAGAAGGAUAUGUGAACUUAGCAAAUCCAACAAAUUCAUAAAAUAUACCAGAGUUGGUUAAAUUGCUUAGCUAGUUCUGAAUGCUUCAUUACUACAGAGAAGAAGUAUGAUACAACUUUGUAGUCCAACUACAGUAAGUAUUUAAAUGAAGUUUUUACUUUUUCUAAAUCUCUUUUCAUAUCUAUUAUUAAAUAUUUUUUCCCUUAUGGUAAGCUACUGAAGUAGGUAAAGCAGUUGUUAUGCCACCAUUCAACAGAAAAAGAAGAUAAGACUUUUGUGCUCUUUUUCCAAGAAUACCCAUUAUAUACAAAGCAAACAUAAAUAAAAAUUACAAACUCAAACUGCUCAGCUAAAACUGUGCCUUGACAAAAGUCUUAACAGUUGGUCAACUUUGGAGAAAUGGGCAAAGUGUGCAGAAAUCUAAAAAAGAGUUUCCUUAAUCUGUAUGGAGUUCUGUUCCAAAUUCUCUUCUCUAUCUGUAAUCCUUGCAAAAUCUCCCUCUCUGCCCGCCCUUACUGUUGGCACAACAUUGGGCUACUCUGUCAGAGAAUCCCCAGUCUUAGGGGUUGUUGGUAAAUCCCUCAGGCUUUUCACAUCCCCAUGGGACUCACCGCCCUCCGUUCCUCUUGUAGUUGUCUGGGACAUAAUGAGGCUGCAGAGAAGAAAAGGAAGCAGUGAGUGUACAGUAGAAGCUGACAAAGCUGGAUCAUAUGAUCAGGGGAUAACUCAGGAUAGAGAGGUGGGGAGGUAAAGAAAGAAAAAAAUAGGGCUGAAGCCUUUAUAAGCUGAGUGACUAUGUUUUAAAGUCCGAAGUUCAUACUUCUAUUAAUCUGUAGGCCAAAAGGCUCACAGUUCUUUUUGCCCUAUCCCAGCUUUUAAGUAGUUAACGUAGAGGUUUCAAAGCUAAUGAGUGAGCUGUUGACUGAGCAAGUAGGACCAGAGAAAUCUAGAUGAGAGGCAGGGCUUGGUGGUGGGUAGAAAGAAUAUAAAAUAAAUACUGUUUAGAGAAACCUAAAAGUAAUAAUGGGAAAAACACGGGCAUAAAGGUUUGCUUUCUGGUUAGAUUAUUUCUAAGCAUUCCAGGAUGAUAGCUAUGAAUUUUGACAGGCUCACUUAUAAGAAGACAGGAUGAGAAGAGCUAAUCCAGGGUUUCAUUAUAGCAAAUAGAUGAAUGAGUGACCAAAAUCUUUACAGAAUGAUGAAUGGCAUAAAAUAAUCCGAGGAGUAUGUUCACAACAAUUUA